CCUACGGGAGGCAGCAGUGGGGAAUAUUGGGCAAUGGGCGCAAGCCUGACCCAGCAACGCCGCGUGAAGGAAGAAGGCCCUCGGGUUGUAAACUUCUUUUGUCAGGGACGAAGAAAGUGACGGUACCUGACGAGUAAGCCACCGCUAACUACGUGCCAGCAGCCGCGGUAAUACGUAGGUGGCGAGCGUUAUCCGGAUUUACUGGGUGUAAAGGGCGUGUAGGCGGGACUGGAAGUCAGAUGGGAAAUUCCAGGGCUUAACCCUGGAACUGCAGUUGAAACUGUAGUUCUUGAGUGAUGGAGAGGCAGGCGGAAUGCCGUGUGUAGCGGUGAAAUGCGUAGAUAUACGGAGGAACACCAGAGGCGAAGGCGGCCUGCUGGACAUUAACUGACGCUGAGGCGCGAAAGCGUGGGGAGCAAACAGGAUUAGAUACCCUGGUAGUC
Molecule: ribosomal RNA, 443 nt
Filed under: uncultured bacterium
Lineage: Bacteria
Description: partial 16S ribosomal RNA
Rfam family: Bacterial small subunit ribosomal RNA
Source: RNAcentral